This 308-nucleotide signal recognition particle RNA is filed under the name Aotus nancymaae (Ma's night monkey). Its description in RNAcentral is "Metazoan signal recognition particle RNA (ENSANAG00000007834.1)". It matches the Rfam family "Metazoan signal recognition particle RNA". Rfam says of the family: The signal recognition particle (SRP) is a universally conserved ribonucleoprotein. It is involved in the co-translational targeting of proteins to membranes. The eukaryotic SRP consists of a 300-nucleotide 7S RNA and six proteins: SRPs 72, 68, 54, 19, 14, and 9. Lineage: Eukaryota; Metazoa; Chordata; Mammalia; Primates; Aotidae. The record is from RNAcentral.
ACCAAGCGUUGGCAUGCACCUGUAGUCCCAGCUGCUCUGGAGGCUGAGGAAAGGAUUGUCGCUUGAGCCCAGGAGUUCUAAGCUCUAGUGCGCUAGGCUGAUCAGGUGUCUGCACUAAACUUUGGCAUCAUGUGGUGACCUCCUGGAGCAGGGAACCACCAGGUUGCCUAAGGAGUGGUGAACUGGCUCAGGUCAGAAAUGGAGCAGGUCAAACCUCCCGUGCCGAUCAGUAGUGGGACUGCACAUUACCAUACGGUGUGAAUAGCUGCUGCACUCCAGCCAGGACAACAUAGCAAGACUCCAUCUCU